GUUCGAAGGCGAUCAGAUACCGCCCUAGUUCUACCCAUAAACGAUGCCAGCUAGCGAUCCGCCGAAGUUCCUCCGAUGACUCGGCGGGCAGCUUCCGGGAAACCAAAGCUUUUGGGUUCCGGGGGAAGUAUGGUUGCAAAGCUGAAACUUAAAGGAAUUGACGGAAGGGCACCACCAGGAGUGGAGCCUGCGGCUUAAUUUGACUCAACACGGGAAACCUCACCAGGCCCGGACACCGGAAGGAUUGACAGAUUGAGAGCUCUUUCUUGAUUCGGUGGGUGGUGGUGCAUGGCCGUUCUUAGUUGGUGGAGCGAUUUGUCUGGUUAAUUCCGAUAACGAACGAGACUCUAGCCUACUAAAUAGACGUACUUUACCGGCAUCUCAAGGCCCACCGGCUGUUAGUUUUCCGUUACGUUGUCACUUGUUUUAUAUUUAACGUUAAUAUUACAUGUGAUGGGGUAUUUUGUGGUGGGUGUGUGCUAAUAGUUGUUCUGUUUCGGCAGGCUUCUAUUAUGUUACACAUUUUCCCCGAAAUUAUUCAUGUUCACAUGGGUAUUUGUUUUAUGUGGGCAUGUUGGACACUGCGGGCUACAGUUUUUUGGUGUGGUUUUUACUGCCGGCGUACAAAUAAUUCUUCUUAGAGGGACAGGCGGCUUCUAGCCGCACGAGAUUGAGCAAUAACAGGUCUGUGAUGCCCUUAGAUGUUCUGGGCCGCACGCGCGCUACACUGAAGGAAUCAGCGUGUCCUCCCUGGCCGAAAGGUCCGGGUAACCCGCUGACCCUCCUUCGUGCUAGGGAUUGGG
This 803-nucleotide ribosomal RNA is filed under the name Cabralis gloriosus. RNAcentral describes it as "bacterial SSU rRNA". It matches the Rfam family "Eukaryotic small subunit ribosomal RNA", at positions 996 to 1581 of the family's 1831-position model. Lineage: Eukaryota; Metazoa; Arthropoda; Insecta; Neuroptera; Psychopsidae. The record is from RNAcentral.